This 351-nucleotide ribosomal RNA is filed under the name uncultured bacterium. Its description in RNAcentral is "bacterial SSU rRNA". It matches the Rfam family "Bacterial small subunit ribosomal RNA", at positions 917 to 1271 of the family's 1533-position model. The record is from RNAcentral.
GGGCCCGCACAAGCGGUGGAGCAUGUGGUUUAAUUCGAUGAUACGCGAGGAACCUUACCAGGGCUUAAAUGCAGAAUGACAGAUUGGGAAACCAGUCCUUCUUCGGACAUUUUGCAAGGUGCUGCAUGGUUGUCGUCAGCUCGUGCCGUGAGGUGUCAGGUUAAGUCCUAUAACGAGCGCAACCCCUAUCAUUAGUUGCCAGCGGGUAAUGCCGGGAACUCUAAUGAGACUGCCAGCGCAAGCUGCGAGGAAGGUGGGGAUGACGUCAAAUCAUCACGGCCCUUACGUCCUGGCUACACACGUGCUACAAUGGUUGGGACAAUGGGCAGCCACUACGCGAGUAGGAGCUAA